This 274-nucleotide ribosomal RNA is filed under the name uncultured bacterium. RNAcentral describes it as "partial 16S ribosomal RNA". It matches the Rfam family "Bacterial small subunit ribosomal RNA", at positions 523 to 796 of the family's 1533-position model. The record is from RNAcentral.
AUACGGAGGGUGCAAGCGUUACUCGGAAUCACUGGGCGUAAAGCGCGCGCAGGCGGUUUUUUAAGUUAGAUGUGAAAUCCUAUAGCUUAACUAUAGAACUGCAUCCAAAACUAUUAGACUAGAGUCUGGGAGAGGUAAGUGGAAUUAGUUGUGUAGGGGUAAAAUCCGUAGAGAUAACUAGGAAUACCAAAAGCGAAGGCAACUUACUGGAACAGUACUGACGCUGAGGCGCGAAAGCGUGGGGAGCAAACAGGAUUAGAAACCCCGGUAGUCC